RNAcentral lists this ribosomal RNA (497 nucleotides) under uncultured bacterium. RNAcentral's name for it is "partial 16S ribosomal RNA". It matches the Rfam family "Bacterial small subunit ribosomal RNA", at positions 28 to 507 of the family's 1533-position model. The record is from RNAcentral.
GAUGAACGCUGGCGGCGUGCCUAAUACAUGCAAGUCGAGCGAACAGACGAGGAGCUUGCUCCUCUGACGUUAGCGGCGGACGGGUGAGUAACACGUGGAUAACCUACCUAUAAGACUGGGAUAACUUCGGGAAACCGGAGCUAAUACCGGAUAAUAUAUUGAACCGCAUGGUUCAAUAGUGAAAGACGGUUUUGCUGUCACUUAUAGAUGGAUCCGCGCCGCAUUAGCUAGUUGGUAAGGUAACGGCUUACCAAGGCAACGAUGCGUAGCCGACCUGAGGGGGUGAUCGGCCACACUGGAACGGAGACACGGUCCAGACUCCUACGGGAGGCAGCAGUAGGGAAUCUUCCGCAAUGGGCGAAAGCCUGACGGAGCAACGCCGCGUGAGUGAUGAAGGUCUUCGGAUCGUAAAACUCUGUUAUUAGGGAAGAACAAAUGUGUAAGUAACUAUGCACGUCUUGACGGUACCUAAUCAGAAAGCCACGGCUAACUACGUG